RNAcentral lists this transfer RNA (72 nucleotides) under Pangasianodon hypophthalmus (striped catfish). RNAcentral describes it as "tRNA-Glu". It matches the Rfam family "tRNA". Rfam says of the family: Transfer RNA (tRNA) molecules are approximately 80 nucleotides in length. Their secondary structure includes four short double-helical elements and three loops (D, anti-codon, and T loops). Lineage: Eukaryota; Metazoa; Chordata; Actinopteri; Siluriformes; Pangasiidae. The record is from RNAcentral.
UCCCUGGAGGACUAGUGGUUAGGCCUCGGUGCUCUCACCGCCACAGCCCGGGUUCGAUUCCCCACCAGGGAA